AUUCCUGUAGCGCAAUGGAUAGUGCAUUGGUCUUCUUAUCCAACGGUGGUGGGUUCGAAUCCCAUCUGGGAUG
Molecule: non-coding RNA, 73 nt
Organism: Trichonephila clavipes
Lineage: Eukaryota; Metazoa; Arthropoda; Arachnida; Araneae; Nephilidae
Source: the annotation of a GenBank genome assembly